RNAcentral lists this ribosomal RNA (445 nucleotides) under Salmonella enterica subsp. enterica serovar Newport. RNAcentral's name for it is "bacterial LSU rRNA". It matches the Rfam family "Bacterial large subunit ribosomal RNA", at positions 1035 to 1397 of the family's 2925-position model. RNAcentral also lists the same sequence under 1 other name. The record is from RNAcentral. Lineage: Bacteria; Pseudomonadati; Pseudomonadota; Gammaproteobacteria; Enterobacterales; Enterobacteriaceae.
CCAGCUAAGGUCCCAAAGUCAUGGUUAAGUGGGAAACGAUGUGGGAAGGCCCAGACAGCCAGGAUGUUGGCUUAGAAGCAGCCAUCAUUUAAAGAAAGCGUAAUAGCUCACUGGUCGAGUCGGCCUGCGCGGAAGAUGUAACGGGGCUAAACCAUGCACCGAAGCUGCGGCAGCGAACGUAUCACUUAAAGCGAUUCAGCGGGUUACGAUUGACGGAGCGAAGCGACGUCAAAGCGUAUACAAAGUCGAGUCGGUUUAAGGAUACGUUCGUUGGGUAGGGGAGCGUUCUGUAAGCCUGUGAAGGUGUGUCGUGAGGCAUGCUGGAGGUAUCAGAAGUGCGAAUGCUGACAUAAGUAACGAUAAAGCGGGUGAAAAGCCCGCUCGCCGGAAGACCAAGGGUUCCUGUCCAACGUUAAUCGGGGCAGGGUGAGUCGACCCCUAAGGC